This 253-nucleotide ribosomal RNA is filed under the name uncultured bacterium. RNAcentral describes it as "partial 16S ribosomal RNA". It matches the Rfam family "Bacterial small subunit ribosomal RNA", at positions 524 to 776 of the family's 1533-position model. The record is from RNAcentral.
GACGUAGGGCGCGAGCGUUGUCCGGAAUUACUGGGCGUAAAGAGCUCGUAGGCGGUUUGUCGCGUCGUCCGUGAAAACUUGGGGCUCAACCCCAAGCUUGCGGGCGAUACGGGCAGACUUGAGUACUGCAGGGGAGACUGGAAUUCCUGGUGUAGCGGUGAAAUGCGCAGAUAUCAGGAGGAACACCGGUGGCGAAGGCGGGUCUCUGGGCAGUAACUGACGCUGAGGAGCGAAAGCGUGGGUAGCGAACAGG